GUUGACCUCGGAUCAGGUAGGGAUACCCGCUGAACUUAAGCAUAUCAAUAAGCGGAGGAAAAGAAACCAACAGGGAUUGCCUUAGUAACGGCGAGUGAAGCGGCAAUAGCUCAAAUUUGAAAGCUGGCCCCUUCGGGGUCCGCGUUGUAAUUUGUAGAGGAUGAUUCGGCGAGGGCUCCCGUCUAAGUCCCUUGGAACAGGGCGUCAUAGAGGGUGAGAAUCCCGUAUGUGAUGGGCUGCCUUAGCCAUGUGAAUCUCCUUCGACGAGUCGAGUUGUUUGGGAAUGCAGCUCUAAAUGGGAGGUAAAUUUCUUCUAAAGCUAAAUACCGGCCAGAGACCGAUAGCGCACAAGUAGAGUGAUCGAAAGAUGAAAAGCACUUUGGAAAGAGAGUUAAAAAGUACGUGAAAUUGUUGAAAGGGAAGCGCUUGCAGCCAGACUUGUCCGCAGUUGCUCAGCCCGUCUCCUGACGGGCGUACUCUUCUGCGGCCAGGCCAGCAUCAGUUCGGGCGGUCGGAUAAAGACCCGGGGAACGUAGCUCCUCUCGGGGAAUGUUAUACCCCCUGGGUGCAAAGCGGCCACCCAGGACUGAGGAUCUAGCUUCCGCUAGGAAGCUGGCGUAAUGGCUGUAGCGGCCC
RNAcentral lists this ribosomal RNA (636 nucleotides) under Neofusicoccum mediterraneum. RNAcentral describes it as "eukaryotic LSU rRNA". It matches the Rfam family "Eukaryotic large subunit ribosomal RNA", at positions 1 to 650 of the family's 3401-position model. Lineage: Eukaryota; Fungi; Ascomycota; Dothideomycetes; Botryosphaeriales; Botryosphaeriaceae. The record is from RNAcentral.